UUUAAAAGACUUGACGGUACUUCACACCAACCUAGAGGAGCCUGUCUAUUAACCGAUAACCCACGAUUAACCCAACCCUUUCUAGCCCAACAGUCUAUAUACCGCCGUCGCCAGCUUACCUUGUGAAAGAAACAAAGUAAGCCCAAUAAUAUCACAUUAAUACGACAGGUCGAGGUGUAACCAAUGAAAGGGGCCAAGAUGGGCUACAUUUUCUAACCCAGAAAAGCCAACACGAAUAAACUAUGAAACUAGAAACUGAAGGUGGAUUUAGCAGUAAACUAAGAAUAGAAUA
RNAcentral lists this ribosomal RNA (292 nucleotides) under Ophiophagus hannah (king cobra). RNAcentral's name for it is "partial small subunit ribosomal RNA". The record is from RNAcentral. Lineage: Eukaryota; Metazoa; Chordata; Lepidosauria; Squamata; Elapidae.